Small nuclear RNA from Cuculus canorus (common cuckoo), 107 nucleotides. The record is from RefSeq and is a predicted model, not a curated record. NCBI's taxonomy places the organism in Eukaryota, Metazoa, Chordata, Aves, Cuculiformes, Cuculidae.
GUGCUUGCUUUGGCAGCAUGUAUACUAAAAUUUGAACAGUACAGAGAAGAUUAUCAUGGCCCCUGCACAAGGAUGGCAUGCAUGUUCAAAAAGUAUUCCAUAUUUCA